UACGGAGGAUGCGAGCGUUAUCCGGAUUUAUUGGGUUUAAAGGGUGCGCGGGCGGCACGGCAAGCCGGCGGUCAAAUCGCGGGGCUCAACCCCGCCCAGCCGUCGGAACUGCCGGGCUAGAGUGGGCGAGAAGUGCGCGGAAUGCGUGGUGUAGCGGUGAAAUGCAUAGAUAUCACGCAGAACUCCGAUUGCGAAGGCAGCGCACCGGCGCCCUACUGACGCUCAGGCACGAAAGCGUGGGUAUCGAACAGG
Molecule: ribosomal RNA, 252 nt
Filed under: uncultured bacterium
Lineage: Bacteria
Description: partial 16S ribosomal RNA
Rfam family: Bacterial small subunit ribosomal RNA
Source: RNAcentral